RNAcentral lists this ribosomal RNA (229 nucleotides) under uncultured bacterium. Its description in RNAcentral is "partial 16S ribosomal RNA". It matches the Rfam family "Bacterial small subunit ribosomal RNA", at positions 568 to 796 of the family's 1533-position model. The record is from RNAcentral.
UACGUAGGCGGGACUUUAAGUCAGUGGUGAAAGCCUCCAGCUCAACUGGAGAAUUGCCAUUGAAACUGAAGUUCUUGAGUAUGGAUGAGGUGGUUGGAAUAUAACAUGUAGCGGUGAAAUGCAUAGAUAUGUUAUAGAACACCGAUUGCGAAGGCAGAUCACUAAACCAUUACUGACGCUGAGGCACGAAAGCGUGGGGAGCGAACAGGAUUAGAUACCCUGGUAGUCC